This 263-nucleotide ribosomal RNA is filed under the name Clostridioides difficile. RNAcentral describes it as "partial 23S ribosomal RNA". It matches the Rfam family "Bacterial large subunit ribosomal RNA", at positions 2176 to 2437 of the family's 2925-position model. Lineage: Bacteria; Bacillati; Bacillota; Clostridia; Peptostreptococcales; Peptostreptococcaceae. The record is from RNAcentral.
UUUGGCGGAGCCAUCCUUGGGAUACCACCCUUGUAGUACUGGGACUCUAACCAUAGGCCAUGAAUCUGGUCUUGGGACACUGUCAGGUGGGCAGUUUGACUGGGGCGGUCGCCUCCCAAAAGGUAACGGAGGCGCUCAAAGGUUCUCUCAGUACGGUCGGAAAUCGUACGUAGAGUGUAAAGGCAAAAGAGAGCUUGAUUGCAAGACAUACAGGUCGAGCAAGGAUGAAAAUCGGACGUAGUGAUCCGGUGGUUCUGCGUGGA